CGCUUUUUCUUUCACCGGAGCUUGCUCCACCGAAAGAAAAGGAGUGGCGAACGGGUGAGUAACACGUGGGUAACCUGCCCAUCAGAAGGGGAUAACACUUGGAAACAGGUGCUAAUACCGUAUAACAAUCGAAACCGCAUGGUUUCGGUUUGAAAGGCGCUUUUGCGUCACUGAUGGAUGGACCCGCGGUGCAUUAGCUAGUUGGUGAGGUAACGGCUCACCAAGGCAACGAUGCAUAGCCGACCUGAGAGGGUGAUCGGCCACAUUGGGACUGAGACACGGCCCAAACUCCUACGGGAGGCAGCAGUAGGGAAUCUUCGGCAAUGGACGCAAGUCUGACCGAGCAACGCCGCGUGAGUGAAGAAGGUUUUCGGAUCGUAAAACUCUGUUGUUAGAGAAGAACAAGGAUGAGAGUAAAAUGUUCAUCCCUUGACGGUAUCUAACCAGAAAGCCACGGCUAACUACGUGCCAGCAGCCGCGGUAAUACGUAGGUGGCAAGCGUUGUCCGGAUUUAUUGGGCGUAAAGCGAGCGCAGGCGGUUUCUUAAGUCUGAUGUGAAAGCCCCCGGCUCAACCGGGGAGGGUCAUUGGAAACUGGGGAACUUGAGUGCAGAAGAGGAGAGUGGAAUUCCAUGUGUAGCGGUGAAAUGCGUAGAUAUAUGGAGGAACACCAGUGGCGAAGGCGGCUCUCUGGUC
RNAcentral lists this ribosomal RNA (695 nucleotides) under uncultured Bacilli bacterium. RNAcentral's name for it is "bacterial SSU rRNA". It matches the Rfam family "Bacterial small subunit ribosomal RNA", at positions 67 to 734 of the family's 1533-position model. The record is from RNAcentral. Lineage: Bacteria; Bacillati; Bacillota; Bacilli.